This 253-nucleotide ribosomal RNA is filed under the name uncultured bacterium. RNAcentral describes it as "partial 16S ribosomal RNA". It matches the Rfam family "Bacterial small subunit ribosomal RNA", at positions 524 to 776 of the family's 1533-position model. The record is from RNAcentral.
UACGGGGGGGGCUAGCGUUGUUCGGAAUUACUGGGCGUAAAGGGCGCGUAGGCGGUCUGCUAAGUUGGAUGUGAAAACUCUGGGCUUAACCCAGAGCCUGCAUUCAAUACUGACAGGCUAGAGUUCUGGAGGGGAUAGCGGAAUUCCUGGUGUAGCGGUGAAAUGCGUAGAGAUCGGGAGGAACACCAGAGGCGAAGGCGGCAACCUGGACAAGCACUGACACUCAACUGCGAAAGCGUGGGGAGCAAACAGG